GCUACUCAAAUAAAGCAUACGGUGGAUGCCUUGGAAUAAUGUGCCGAAGAAGGACGUAUAAGGCCGCGAAAGUCGUCGGUGAGGAGCCAUAAUCCUUUGACCCGGCGGUGUCCGAAUGGGGUAACCCCUGCCAUGGUAACAUGGCGGUGCCACGUUACGCAUGGAAAUUCUAAACACUAAUUUCUAAACUCUAAAUAAAUUCCCAAUGUUUAAUUAUUUAAACUUUGAAUUUAAAUAUUGUUUAGGAUUUAGGAUUUCAAAUUUAGGAUUUUCACGCGUAGCGUGGCAGGUAACCCGGAGAACUGAAACAUCUAAGUACCCGGAGGAAAAUAAAUCGAAUGAGAUUCCCUUAGUAAGCGGUGAGCGAAAAGGGAAUAGUCUAAACCGAGAUUUAUCUCGGUGUUGCAGGACCAGACAUAACGUAUUAAUCGGUUAGAAGAACAACGUGGAAUAGUUGGCCAUAGAACGUGAAAGCCGUGUAAUCGAAAACCUGAGAAUAUCAGUUUGGCACCUAAGUACGUUCGGAGACGGCAAACUCCGUGCGGAAUCCGCCCCGACCACGGGGCAAGACUAAAUACACAUUAUUACCGAUAGUGAACGAGUACCGUGAGGGAAAGGUGAAAAGAUGGGUGAGACACCCAGUGAAAUAGUACCUGAAACCGUAUGCUAACAAACAGACAGAGUCCGGAUUUAUCCGGAUGAUGUCGUGCCUAUUGAAGAAUGACCCGUCGAGUUUGCAUGUACUGCAAGUCUAAGUGAUAUCGUCACGGAGGCGUAGUGAAAGCGAGGAUGAAUAGUCCGUUUAGCAGUGCGUCCAAGACCCGAAACCGGUGUGAGCUAACCAUGAGCAGGUUGAACCCCAAGUAAAAUUGGGGGAAGGACCGAACCGUUGUGAGCUGCAAAUCGCUCGGAUGACUUGUGGUUAGGGGUAAUAUGCCAAUCGAACCCGGAGAUAGCUGGUUCUCCCCGAAAUAUAUUUAGGUAUAGCCUCAAGUGAUUGCAUGUGUGGGGGUAGAGCACUGAAAAGGUGCGAGGUCGCAAGGCCUUUCAUUUUAUCAAACUCCGAAUACCAUCAUGUUCAGCUUGGGAGUCAGUCCCUGGGAGCUAAGUUCCAGGGGCAAAAGGGUAACAUCCCAGAUCGUCAAUUAAGGUCUCAAAAUCAUUACUAAGUGGGUCAAGGAAGUCAUUGUCCAUAAACAGCUAGGAGGUCGGCUCAGAAGCAGCCAUCCUUGAAAGAAAGCGUAACAGCUCACUAGUCGAUGGAAGGUGGCGCCGAAGAUUCAUCGAGGCUCAAGUAAUGUACCGAAGUUGCGGAUUGUCCGCCUCAGGCGGAUUCUGGUAGGGGAGCGUUCCAACAGCAGUGAAGUCGUUUUGUAAGAAACGGUGGAGCGGUUGGAAGUGAGAAUGGCGGGAUGAGUAGCGAGAUGGAGGUGAGAAUCCUCCACACCGAAUGUUCAAGGUUUCCCACGCAACGUUUGUCGACGUGGGGUUAGGCGGCCCUAAGGUGAGGCUGGUGUAGUGCCGGCGUAGCCGAUGGAUAACAGGUUGAUAUUCCUGUCCUAUAAAAUGAUCGUUAUUAACUGGGGAGGGACGACCUAGGAAAAGCAAAGCCCAUUAUUGAAUUUGGGUCUAAGCGUCGAGACAGAAGAGUAUUGGAAAAUCCGUACUCUCCGUUAUUACUCGAGGCGCAAUAGGGAAUUUCAGCUUCGGCUGGAGUGACUUUGUGUAUUUCUGGGCCCAAGAAAAUCUUCACAGUGAGAGUAUUUGAUAGCCGUACCGCAAACCGACACAGGUGAACUGGUAGAGUAUACCAAGGUGGACGAGAGAACCUUCCUUAAGGAACUCGGCAAAUUAGCUAGGCGUAACUUAGGGAGAUGCCUAUUCCGCAAAUUUUGUACUUGUACAAAAUUCUGCGGAACGCAGAUAAAGAAUUCAAAGUGACUGUUUAACAAAAACACAGGUCUGUGCGAAGGCGUAAGCCGACGUAUACGGGCUGAGGCCUGCCCAGUGCCAGAAGGUUAACUGAGAGGAUAACCCCGACUUGUUCGGGCUAGUCUUUGAUUGAAGCCCUGGUGAACGGCAGCAGUAACUAUAACUGUUCUAUGGUUAAGGAUAUAAAAAUCGUUGCCAUAGUGAGGUAGUCAAACCUCUUUCACUCGCGUGCAGAAAAAACGAGUGAAGAAAAUAUCGCUAUAUGCUGGAAGAGCUCAGUAUCUGACAGUACUACCAUGAUUCGAAUCAUAGUAGUGACAAUCUGUUCAGUGGAGCAAAUCAGCAGGAAAGAUCUUGCAUAAGAGAGUAGAAUACACAUUCUAUGGAAGACCUUGAUAGUUUAAUAUCUAAUGAAUCAAUUGAACGGGCAGGGAAUAUUUUCGAUCAACUUAAAGAAAUAGGUUUUAUCGGGACAAUUCUCCUACCGGUCAUUUGGUUUUUAGGAAAACUGUCAAAAUCUGAAGAAUUUAAGUGGUAAUUUAUUUUCCAGCAAGAAAUCCUCAGAGACUAAACGCGAUACUUUUACGAAAGUAAAUGAAGAUAUAGUCCGAUCUCAUGAGCGAUCAUGAGUUAACACAAAUAUGAGCGAAAUUCCUUGUCGGGCAAGUUCCGACCUGCACGAAUGGCGUAACAACUUUGAAACUGUCUUGAGGAGGGACUCGGCGAAAUUGAAAUGGCUGUGAAGAUGCGGCCUACUGACAACAGGACAAAAAGACCCCGUGGAGCUUUACUGUACCUUGACACUGAAUUUUAUGUUUUGACUGUGUAGCAUAGGCGGGAGCCGCAAGGCGACAAGUGUAAUACCGCUCUUUGAAACGUGAGAUUCUUACCCGUCCCGACUGGAUCGUCGGGGGGGACACUGUCUGGGAGGCAGUUUAACUGGGGAGGUUGCUUGCUAAAGAGUACCGC
RNAcentral lists this ribosomal RNA (2901 nucleotides) under groundwater metagenome. RNAcentral's name for it is "bacterial LSU rRNA". It matches the Rfam family "Bacterial large subunit ribosomal RNA", at positions 1 to 2303 of the family's 2925-position model. The record is from RNAcentral.